RNAcentral lists this transfer RNA (78 nucleotides) under Nitrosopumilus maritimus SCM1. Its description in RNAcentral is "tRNA-Glu (CTC) (tRNA-Glu-CTC-1-1)". It matches the Rfam family "tRNA". From Rfam's summary of the family: Transfer RNA (tRNA) molecules are approximately 80 nucleotides in length. Their secondary structure includes four short double-helical elements and three loops (D, anti-codon, and T loops). The record is from RNAcentral. Lineage: Archaea; Thermoproteati; Nitrososphaerota; Nitrososphaeria; Nitrosopumilales; Nitrosopumilaceae.
GCUCCCAUAGUGUAGUCCGGUUAAGCAUACAGCCCUCUCAAGGCUGUGACCCGGGUUCAAAUCCCGGUGGGAGCACCA